AUGCAAGGCAAACAGAAUCUGUGCAGUUUGCGUGUAUAUAUUGAUUCAGUAAAUGUGCCACAGAAACACAGCAUUUCAUAUGUCUCAUCAUUCUACGCAGGUCCUCCUGGACCCCCAGGGAAUCAAGGACCAGGUGCAAAAGGAGAACCUGGGGUCGCAGGACCUCGUGGAGAAAAAGGUGACACUGGGAACAUUGGUCAAAAAGGAGAGCGUGGAAUUGUUGGUCUUCCUGGACAAAAAGGAAAUGUUGGUCCACCUGGAAUUCCAGGUCAGUUGUGUAACAGUCACAUGAAUGAACUGAUACUAUCACUGUCAUGCAUUUUACAAAGAGGGUGAAGUCUGAAACAGGGGUGUGGCUAAAGUUUACAGGCAGAAAUCAGUUGCAGAAAUCAAUUUGACACUCAUCAAUGUAAUGUAUGUCAAAAUGUUGCCAUUGGUCUAUUCAAGUUAUGCAGUAGCCAAGUGGUAUGUUAGCCACCAGUAGCAUAGUAAUAAAGUGUCAGGGACUCGAAGCA
RNAcentral lists this long non-coding RNA (515 nucleotides) under Betta splendens (Siamese fighting fish). RNAcentral's name for it is "lncRNA (ENSBSLG00000006415.1)". Lineage: Eukaryota; Metazoa; Chordata; Actinopteri; Anabantiformes; Osphronemidae. The record is from RNAcentral.